RNAcentral lists this ribosomal RNA (468 nucleotides) under uncultured bacterium. RNAcentral describes it as "partial 16S ribosomal RNA". It matches the Rfam family "Bacterial small subunit ribosomal RNA", at positions 28 to 507 of the family's 1533-position model. The record is from RNAcentral.
GACGAACGCUGGCGGCGUGCUUAACACAUGCAAGUCGAACGGAAAGGCCCUGCUUUUGUGGGGUGCUCGAGUGGCGAACGGGUGUGUAACACGUGAGUAACCUGCCCUAGACUUUGGGAUAACUUCAGGAAACUGGGGCUAAUACCGGAGAGGAGCUCCUGCUGCAGGGUGGGGGAUGGAAAGUUUGGGCGGGUGGGGGUGGACGCGCGGCUUAUCAGCUGGUUGGUGGGGGAGUGGCUUACCAGGGCAUGGACGGUUAGCCGGCCUGGGAGGGUGACCGGCCACAUUGGGACUGGGUUCCGGCCCAGCCUCCUCCGGGGGGCAGCAGUGGGGAAUAUUGCACAUUGGGCGGAGGCCUGAUGCGGCAACGCCGCGUGCGGGAUGCCGGCCUUCGGGUUGUAACCCGCUUUCGCCUGUGACGAAGCGUGUGUGACGGUAAUUGGUUAAGAAGCACCGGCUAACUACGUG